Athalia rosae (coleseed sawfly) is the source of this 1553-nucleotide RNA transcript. RefSeq lists it as uncharacterized. The record is from RefSeq and is a predicted model, not a curated record. NCBI's taxonomy places the organism in Eukaryota, Metazoa, Arthropoda, Insecta, Hymenoptera, Athaliidae. The transcript has 9 exons.
UCAACGCUGCGUAUUCCGGGGUCUGGUGAUUCAAAUCACCGGUUCAAAUCACGAAAUUUAACGAACGAUUUCUCUCAUCUCUUGAAAGUUAUGCUUCGUCAAACUAAUCUUGCUCCUUAUCCAUCGUAUUGUUAUUGAAUUGCAGUUUUUGUGAAUGAAAAGAUCUGCUAGGAUGAUUGCCUUAUUUGUUAAGUUAUACUUAAUUCCACAUUGUUUCGGUUACGACGCUGGCCUCACGUUGAAGGAGACCGGAGAAAAAGAAUAUCUGUUGUUGAAAGCUAAAUCAACUUUACCGCACCAUGGAAAGUGUUGGCACAACGUUUUACGAGGAAUUAAGGCUAGUUGUGAUAAAUUGAAUGACCGAGAACACUCUCUUCUUGCAUUGCAGUUGACAAAUUGUUUCUUAGAAGAUUCUGGCCAUGCUACCUAUGAUUGCAUCCUUACCAAAGAGGAAAACGAUAGACGAGAAUGCAUCGGUGAAAUGUCUGACCGUGCUUUUGGGGUCUACAGCACAUUCUUCACUCAGGCAAUGAACAUUUGCUAUUUCCUUAAUCAAGAAAUCUGGCAGUCAGAAACAGACCACACUAUCAAGCAAUUAUAUCAUGCUUCAUCUCGCAUGAAUCAACAACUGCUGGAGGCUUCAGAAAUGCAGAAUGUAAUGUUGGAAAGUCAAAAACAAGGUUUAAAGCUGCAAAAUGAACUUUUGGAUCAUGGACAGCAACUUGGAUCCGUUAUAAAAUCAUCGGCUGAAACUGUUACUACAAUGGUAGCCGAUUUCAAAGAAAACGCAAGCGAACAACGUGAACUCUUGCAUCAAAUCUUCUCUAACGUUCACGUCUUCCAAAAUUGGAUUGUCAGUGAAGUUUCGUGGUUUCAAUCUAUUGUGUUCUACACAGUCUCCUGCAUCCUCUGUGGGCUAUUUACUUCUUCUAAAAGAACUGCAGAGGCAAGAAUUACGAUGUUCAUUACCCUGAGCUUAAAUGUUGUUGUGGAGAGAAUGCUGGUUCAAUAUUACAACAAAGGAAACUCAGAUGAUGUUAAGAUUGAAUUGUCAUAUAUAACUUGGAUGUUUCGUAAGAUCUCUUUGACAAUUUGUGUCCUCACAUUGCUCUUCACAUCUUGCUUAUACAGGGACGAGCAGCUAGAAAAUUCAAAAGCUCUCCAGCGUAUCGAAUGUCAAUUGGGUGCACUCUAUGAGAUGAAAAAACCAACUAUACGUUAUUCCAGGAGGCUAGCAUUGCGACGACAACAAGAAUGUGAAGUAACGGAAGAAGCAAAAGUUGAAAGGAUGACACGCAGUAGGCGUCGCUUGAAAGAUAUUUCACUCAAUUCAUAAUCCACGCAGUCGAGAUCAGAAGGGUUCAUUAUUCCUGUCGCAGGCCCGAGAGGAGUAUUUUCAACUUAUUUCAUUUAACAUUAUCAAACCUGAUAAUGAGGGACAACAGAUUCGGCAAAUCUUUGAUCAUCCUGAACAACUGUUGAAUCACCGAUGCCGGGUUGAUUUUUAUUAUCGCUAAAGGAAAGGUAGUGAAACAGGGUGGGUUUCUCUGGAC